Molecule: ribosomal RNA, 571 nt
Filed under: Salmonella enterica subsp. enterica serovar Oranienburg
Lineage: Bacteria; Pseudomonadati; Pseudomonadota; Gammaproteobacteria; Enterobacterales; Enterobacteriaceae
Also listed under: 1 other name
Description: bacterial LSU rRNA
Rfam family: Bacterial large subunit ribosomal RNA
Source: RNAcentral
AGUGGAAGCGUCUGGAAAGGCGCGCGAUACAGGGUGACAGCCCCGUACACAAAAGCGCAUGUGCUGUGAGCUCGAUGAGUAGGGCGGGACACGUGGUAUCCUGUCUGAAUAUGGGGGGACCAUCCUCCAAGGCUAAAUACUCCUGACUGACCGAUAGUGAACCAGUACCGUGAGGGAAAGGCGAAAAGAACCCCGGCGAGGGGAGUGAAAAAGAACCUGAAACCGUGUACGUACAAGCAGUGGGAGCACAGGUUUACCUGUGUGACUGCGUACCUUUUGUAUAAUGGGUCAGCGACUUAUAUUCUGUAGCAAGGUUAACCGAAUAGGGGAGCCGGAGGGAAACCGAGUCUUAAUUGGGCGUUAAGUUGCAGGGUAUAGACCCGAAACCCGGUGAUCUAGCCAUGGGCAGGUUGAAGGUUGGGUAACACUAACUGGAGGACCGAACCGACUAAUGUUGAAAAAUUAGCGGAUGACCUGUGGCUGGGGGUGAAAGGCCAAUCAAACCGGGAGAUAGCUGGUUCUCCCCGAAAGCUAUUUAGGUAGCGCCUCGUGAAUUCAUCUCCGGGGGUAG